This 28-nucleotide non-coding RNA is filed under the name Homo sapiens (human). The record is from RNAcentral. Lineage: Eukaryota; Metazoa; Chordata; Mammalia; Primates; Hominidae.
UAGAUAGCUGGUAGUCCAGGAGUGCUGC